AGUAGUGGGGGAUAGCCCGGGAAACCCGGAAUUAAUACCGCAUACGCCCUACGGGGGAAAGCAGGGNUCUUUUGGACCUUGCGCUAUUGGAUGAGCNUACGUCUGAUUAGCUUGUUGGUAGGGUAAUGGCCUACCAAGGCGACGAUCAGUAGCUGGUCUGAGAGGACGAUCAGCCACACUGGGACUGAGACACGGCCCAGACUCCUACGGGAGGCAGCAGUGGGGAAUAUUGGACAAUGGGCGAAAGCCUGAUCCAGCAAUGCCGCGUGUGUGAAGAAGGCCUGCGGGUUGUAAAGCACUUUCAGCAGGGAAGAAGAGCCUUGAGGCUAAUAUCCUCAAGGCUAGACGUU
This 350-nucleotide ribosomal RNA is filed under the name uncultured bacterium #1830-1C17. Its description in RNAcentral is "bacterial SSU rRNA". It matches the Rfam family "Bacterial small subunit ribosomal RNA", at positions 132 to 476 of the family's 1533-position model. The record is from RNAcentral.